UUAAAAGUUAUAAGACCAGUUUGACGACAGUGAAUGCAUAUAUUUAAUUUUUUUUUUUUUAAAUGUCCCUUAUAAAAUGUUCCUCCAAUAUGGCUGCUAAAAGAUAUGUGAUGUCAAUGCAAAGCCUCUAUCAGUUCCUAAACGUGCAUGUGUACGGUUCGACAAUUUGCUGCUGGCAAUAAAAAAACCCUCACUGUCUCCCCCCUGCCACUACCAAUCAUCUGUUUGUGUCUUUGCAUGUUAACACCCC
This is a long non-coding RNA of Sander lucioperca (pikeperch), 250 nucleotides long. RefSeq lists it as uncharacterized. The transcript has 2 exons. The record is from RefSeq and is a predicted model, not a curated record. Lineage: Eukaryota; Metazoa; Chordata; Actinopteri; Perciformes; Percidae.